UGAGGAAUAUUGGCAUCAUGUCGCUAGACUGAACCAGCCAAGUAGCGUGCGGGAUGAAGGCCCUCCGGGUCGUAAACCGCUUUUAGACGGGGAUAAAAGGGCGUACGUGUACGCCGUAUUGCAUGUACCGUCAGAAAAAGGACCGGCUAAUUCCGUGCCAGCAGCCGCGGUAAUACGGAAGGUCCGGGCGUUAUCCGGAUUUAUUGGGUUUAAAGGGAGCGUAGGCGGACUUUCAAGUCAGUGGUAAAAUCGUGUGGCUCAACCAUACCUCGCCAUUGAAACUGGAAGUCUGGAGUGCACACAGGGGUGCCGGAAUUCAUGGUGUAGCGGUGAAAUGCUUAGAUAUCAUGAAGAACUCCGAUCGCGAAGGCAAGUGCCCGGGGUGCAACUGACGCUGAGGCUCGAAGGUGCGGGUAUCGAACAGGAUUAGAUACC
RNAcentral lists this ribosomal RNA (435 nucleotides) under uncultured bacterium. RNAcentral describes it as "bacterial SSU rRNA". It matches the Rfam family "Bacterial small subunit ribosomal RNA", at positions 355 to 786 of the family's 1533-position model. The record is from RNAcentral.